GCUCGAGGAUUCCACGAUUCGUCACCAGAGUCUAAUCUCGACCUUCCUACUUUACCGGAUCUCUUCUUUGUACUGUCUUUACCGUCCCUCUCGUCAUCAGAUGCAUCCAGCGACGGAUAAACUAAUCAAAACCAUGAAAACGAUACCUUUACGUCAUCGUAGUCAUCCGUCAAAGAUGAAUUCAACCUUCUUCUGCCUUUGCGUUGCCGCUGGGAUGCCGAAGGAUGGGGUGGUGGAUUUGAAUUUAAAAAUCCAUUCUGUUGGUGAAACAGAAGUUUUAAGACAACAACUUCAUAGCCACGGGAAUAAAUAAUAUUACCUGGUCUGAUGUCGGAGAACUAAAUCCUCGGCUCAUCGUUAACAUGCCGACGAUGGCUUCCCUAGUCGAAGGUGAAGCUCUGCCACGAUCUCUACAAACCAAAUAGCGAAAUUAAGCCGUGCGCUUUACAAAAAUAAUAAAAAAGGAAACAUACUCUAGUUCAUCUAAAGCUCCAGGAAACGGAACAUCUGUUCGCCCACCAACUGCAUAAAAACAUGUUUAAAAUAUCAGCACUUGGACGAGAAUGAAUGACAGCAUAAGGUAGUGAAGAGACACGGAGUGUUGGCGGUAGAAAAGGUAUUGUUCGAGGUUCAUCCGUUCUCUCAACUUUUAUAGACAGAAGAUCCUAGGCGAACACAACCAUGUUACAGAUAAAAGAUAUCCAGAACAUCUACUUAAAGUCAUCUUACUUCUUCGGCUGCAAAGUUACUAAGCGCUUCGUUAAUGUCAACGAAAUCAGGCCGAGUCUGUGGUUUACGGCGCACUCGUUUCGGUGAAUUUUUUUCGACUUUGGCAUUAGGUACGUUAGGCAGUGAAGUCGCCAGUGAAAACGGUGAGAGGGAUGAAUUGGAAUUCUUCUCAACAUGACGAAGCUCUCGACUCAAUUCUUUUAGUAAUUUUGAUACGAUAAUAUGUUCGGGAAUCGGUUCAUUUUUUCCUUUUCCGUUCUGCUUUAUAGGAGGAGAAACAAAAAAGAUAAUGUAUAACGAUUUUGAAUACUUUUAACGCUUUUAUACGCACAUCUUUUUCUAGUGUCCAAUUCCUAAGGGCGGUAGCUAACGCUCUCACCCCACGUAUUAACUGUUCUGGACAGCGUGAGCCCUUUCUACUCAUAUCCCUUAAAUCUUCAACUAAUCUCUCCGCUGCAAACCAGUGUAUCGUUUGAAACAUAGGAAAGCGGAAUCGGAUUGGUGCCUUAGAAGCUACUUCGAUGUUGUAAACCCUGCACAAACAUCAUCCUCAUUAAACGAAGUGGAAUUUAAAAUUGAAGUAAUAGCUUACUUUAACUGUAAUUCCAUAUUUAAAUUGUGCAAGAAGUUGCCACCAAACACAAGCGAGUCUUUUGGUGUGUAUACGGCGUGAAUCCAUCCAGUUGGAAUGAACAAGGUGUUGCCUUGAUGCAAAACAAAUCGGUGACAGGAACUAACCUAAACACAACUUGACAGUUCAGAGAUACAGAAACGCUAUGAUUACAACCACAGCUACUAUCAAGCACUUACCAUAUCUCCAAAGAAUAUUUCAUGAUGGUUUGGUUUGGACAACCACUGCAAGUAGAAAUCCAAAUUUUCUUCAGUAGGUGCGACCAAAUAGAAUACCUUUUCUCCCUGACGAUUCAUUUCACAAGAAAAAAAUUGGUAAAAAAACCGUUUGUUUUUCUCUAACGAAAACUAACUUACCUUUAAGACGUGAUACCAAACGGAUGAGCCUCCAAAGUCGAUGUGGAAAUCGGUAUAGGAAUCUUUUACUCCCAUAAGGCAAUAUUUUUGUACCUCUGGUCGUUCAAGGGCAUAAUCGCGGGGCCAAACGUUGUUUGCCCAGCAUAACUUGCGGGCAAUGUAGGGAGGCUCGACCAAGGCACUUAAACUUUAAAUUUUAAGUUUAGUUAUGCUUAAUUCGUACAAAAACCUGUAAUAAAACUUACUUAGAGUCAGAAAACUCAAGGCUUAUCACAUUUAAGACCUGUGAUCUUAAUGGAUUUGUAUAGUAUUCUACAAAGUCUUUAAGGGCCAUUCUUAUGUCUGAUUGCUUUGUUACAUCAAUAACAUCAAUUAUUCUAUCAGAACCUGUAUUCAUGAAGCAUUAGUGAAUAAAAAGACAUGAAUGUU
This 2145-nucleotide long non-coding RNA is filed under the name Daphnia magna. Its description in RNAcentral is "uncharacterized LOC116921186, transcript variant X1". Lineage: Eukaryota; Metazoa; Arthropoda; Branchiopoda; Diplostraca; Daphniidae. The record is from RNAcentral.